This 468-nucleotide ribosomal RNA is filed under the name uncultured bacterium. Its description in RNAcentral is "partial 16S ribosomal RNA". It matches the Rfam family "Bacterial small subunit ribosomal RNA", at positions 28 to 507 of the family's 1533-position model. The record is from RNAcentral.
GACGAACGCUGGCGGCGUGCUUAACACAUGCAAGUCGAACGGAAAGGCCCUGCUUUUGUGGGGUGCUCGAGUGGCGAACGGGUGAGUAACACGUGAGUAACCUGCCCUUGACUUUGGGAUAACUUCAGGAAACUGGGGCUAAUACCGGAUAGGAGCUCCUGCUGCAUGGUGGGGGUUGGAAAGUGUCGGCGGUUGGGGAUGGACUCGCGGCUUAUCAGCUUGUUGGUGGGGUAGUGGCUUACCAAGGCUUUGACGGGUAGCCGGCCUGAGAGGGUGACCGGCCACAUUGGGACUGAGAUACGGCCCAGACUCCUACGGGAGGCAGCAGUGGGGAAUAGUGCACAAUGGGCGGAAGCCUGAUGCAGCAACGCCGCGUGCGGGAUGACGGCCUUCGGGUUGUAAACCGCUUUCGCCUGUGACGAAGCGUGAGUGACGGUAAUGGGUAAAGAAGCACCGGCUAACUACGUG